UUAAAUUGAAGAGUUUGAUCAUGGCUCAGAUUGAACGCUGGCGGCAGGCCUAACACAUGCAAGUCGAACGGUAACAGAAAGCAGCUUGCUGCUUUGCUGACGAGUGGCGGACGGGUGAGUAAUGUCUGGGAAACUGCCUGAUGGAGGGGGAUAACUACUGGAAACGGUAGCUAAUACCGCAUAACGUCGCAAGACCAAAGAGGGGGACCUUCGGGCCUCUUGCCAUCGGAUGUGCCCAGAUGGGAUUAGCUAGUAGGUGGGGUAACGGCUCACCUAGGCGACGAUCCCUAGCUGGUCUGAGAGGAUGACCAGCCACACUGGAACUGAGACACGGUCCAGACUCCUACGGGAGGCAGCAGUGGGGAAUAUUGCACAAUGGGCGCAAGCCUGAUGCAGCCAUGCCGCGUGUAUGAAGAAGGCCUUCGGGUUGUAAAGUACUUUCAGCGGGGAGGAAGGGAGUAAAGUUAAUACCUUUGCUCAUUGACGUUACCCGCAGAAGAAGCACCGGCUAACUCCGUGCCAGCAGCCGCGGUAAUACGGAGGGUGCAAGCGUUAAUCGGAAUUACUGGGCGUAAAGCGCACGCAGGCGGUUUGUUAAGUCAGAUGUGAAAUCCCCGGGCUCAACCUGG
RNAcentral lists this ribosomal RNA (629 nucleotides) under Escherichia coli. Its description in RNAcentral is "bacterial SSU rRNA". It matches the Rfam family "Bacterial small subunit ribosomal RNA", at positions 1 to 617 of the family's 1533-position model. Lineage: Bacteria; Pseudomonadati; Pseudomonadota; Gammaproteobacteria; Enterobacterales; Enterobacteriaceae. The record is from RNAcentral.